This 472-nucleotide unclassified non-coding RNA is filed under the name uncultured fungus. Its description in RNAcentral is "partial contains small subunit ribosomal RNA, internal transcribed spacer 1, and 5.8S ribosomal RNA". The stretch from base 1 to 73 matches the Rfam family "Eukaryotic small subunit ribosomal RNA", at positions 1759 to 1831 of the family's 1831-position model. The record is from RNAcentral. Lineage: Eukaryota; Fungi.
GCAAACUUGGUCAUUUAGAGGAAGUAAAAGUCGUAACAAGGUAACCGUAGGUGAACCUGCGGUUGGAUCAUUACCGAAAAGCAACGCGAUGCCUCGCGCGGUCUUGGGGGGUCUCUCUCAUCGGCGACCCUUUGUUGGCCCUUGGGGCGAUUCGCACACCCAACUGUGAACCACUGACCGUCUAUUGGGGGGCGGCAGAGCUUUUUCGCUGAGCAAAAUGCCGCGGAAGUUCGAUGGUCACUCGGGCGGUUUGAUCGUUUGCGAGAGCGCGUCUUUUUAACAAAGACGCGCGCCAGGACUGUCUUUUUGGCUGCGCUUCGCGGCCGUUGGACGGUUUUCCGCUCCCCAGCGCACAUGCACCCACAGAUUGUUGGCAUGAUAUUAUUUUUCAAUUCUGAGCGUUUGUUGGCAUGAUUUUGAAACAACUUCAGACAACGGAUCUCUUGGCUCUCGCAUCGAUGAAGAACGCAGC